GAUGAACGCUGGCGGCGUGCCUAAUACAUGCAAGUCGAGCGAACGGACGAGAAGCUUGCUUCUCUGAUGUUAGCGGCGGACGGGUGAGUAACACGUGGAUAACCUACCUAUAAGACUGGGAUAACUUCGGGAAACCGGAGCUAAUACCGGAUAAUAUUUUGAACCGCAUGGUUCAAAAGUGAAAGACGGUCUUGCUGUCACUUAUAGAUGGAUCCGCGCUGCAUUAGCUAGUUGGUAAGGUAACGGCUUACCAAGGCAACGAUGCAUAGCCGACCUGAGAGGGUGAUCGGCCACACUGGAACUGAGACACGGUCCAGACUCCUACGGGAGGCAGCAGUAGGGAAUCUUCCGCAAUGGGCGAAAGCCUGACGGAGCAACGCCGCGUGAGUGAUGAAGGUCUUCGGAUCGUAAAACUCUGUUAUUAGGGAAGAACAUAUGUGUAAGUAACUGUGCACAUCUUGACGGUACCUAAUCAGAAAGCCACGGCUAACUACGUGCCAGCAGCCGCGGUAAUACGUAGGUGGCAAGCGUUAUCCGGAAUUAUUGGGCGUAAAGCGCGCGUAGGCGGUUUUUUAGUCUGAUGUGAAAGCCCACGGCUCAACCGUGGAGGGUCAUUGGAAACUGGAAAACUUGAGUGCAGAAGAGGAAAGUGGAAUUCCAUGUGUAGCGGUGAAAUGCGCAGAGAUAUGGAGGAACACCAGUGGCGAAGGCGACUUUCUGGUCUGUAACUGACGCUGAUGUGCGAAAGCGUGGGGAUCAAACAGGAUUAGAUACCCUGGUAGUCCACGCCGUAAACGAUGAGUGCUAAGUGUUAGGGGGUUUCCGCCCCUUAGUGCUGCAGCUAACGCAUUAAGCACUCCGCCUGGGGAGUACGACCGCAAGGUUGAAACUCAAAGGAAUUGACGGGGACCCGCACAAGCGGUGGAGCAUGUGGUUUAAUUCGAAGCAACGCGAAGAACCUUACCAAAUCUUGACAUCCUUUGACAACUCUAGAGAUAGAGCUUUCCCCUUCGGGGGACAAAGUGACAGGUGGUGCAUAGUUGUCGUCAGCUCGUGUCGUGAGAUGUUGGGUUAAGUCCCGCAACGAGCGCAACCCUUAAGCUUAGUUGCCAUCAUUAAGUUGGGCACUCUAAGUUGACUGCCGGUGACAAACCGGAGGAAGGUGGGGAUGACGUCAAAUCAUCAUGCCCCUUAUGAUUUGGGCUACACACGUGCUACAAUGGACAAUACAAAGGGCAGCGAAACCGCGAGGUCAAGCAAAUCCCAUAAAGUUGUUCUCAGUUCGGAUUGUAGUCUGCAACUCGACUACAUGAAGCUGGAAUCGCUAGUAAUCGUAGAUCAGCAUGCUACGGUGAAUACGUUCCCGGGUCU
Molecule: ribosomal RNA, 1371 nt
Filed under: uncultured bacterium
Lineage: Bacteria
Description: bacterial SSU rRNA
Rfam family: Bacterial small subunit ribosomal RNA
Source: RNAcentral